UGUUUCCUCUCUCUCUCUCUCUCUCUCUCGUUUUCACUUGGAUCCCUUCAUCUCUCCGUCGCUUUCUCGCCGACCGCAACGGAAUGAGUGCCGGCAACCUUCUUAGCGUCGAGCCUCAGGAGCUCCAAUUUCCAUUUGAAUUGAGGAAGCAGAUCUCUUGUUCCCUACAGCUGUUAAAUAAGAACGACAAUUAUGUGGCUUUCAAGGUUAAGACGACGAAUCCAAAAAAGUACUGUGUUAGGCCUAAUACUGGGGUUGUGUCGCCAAGGUCCACUUGUGAUGUUAUAGUUACAAUGCAAGCACAAAAGGAGGCGCUGCAAGGACAAGUUUUUACUUCAGAGUGUAGUUGCAAGUCCUGGAGCUACCGCAAAGGAUGUCAAUGCAGAGAUGUUCAAUAAAGAGGCAGGACAUCAUGUUGAAGAGUGCAAAUUGAUGGUUGUUUAUGUUGCUCCUCCUAGACCUCCAUCACCGGUUCGAGAAGGAUCGGAGGAAGGUUCUUCACCCAGAGCUUCUGUGUCUGACGAUGGGAGUCUGAGCACCUCUGAACGAACAGUUGUUUCAAGAACUCAUGUUGAGAGACACGAGCCUCAAGAUAACUCAUCUGAGGCAAGGACUCUUAUUUCAAAGCUGACUGAGGAGAAAAAUUCUGCUAUUCAGCAAAACAAGAAGCUUCGACAAGAACUGGAGCUGUUGAUGCAUCAAUCCAGAAGUCGCGGUGGUAUCCCAUAUAUAUACGUUAUUGUUGUUGGUUUGAUUGGCAUCAUAUUGGGAUACCUCAUGAAAGGGACAUGACCGGUCAAGUUGCCUGUCAAUGAUUGCCUGACAUCCUUGCUGAAAAAUUGGAAUGUGGAAUGUUAACUUAUGGGUCUGUAUUGACCUUAGAGAAACAUGUCAAAUGUUAUGACUGGUAAGAUGAAAUUGUUGUUCACUAUUUUAAUGUAGGUUCUGUGAUUUGCAAAACUUAUUGGUGAGUAUUUUUC
RNAcentral lists this unclassified non-coding RNA (980 nucleotides) under Hevea brasiliensis (rubber tree). Lineage: Eukaryota; Viridiplantae; Streptophyta; Magnoliopsida; Malpighiales; Euphorbiaceae. The record is from RNAcentral.